GUCAGAACGAACGCUGGCGGCGCGUUUAAGCAUGCAAGUCGAGCGGCAAGGGCCUUCGGGCCCCUAGAGCGGCGGACGGGUGAGUAACACGUGGACUAAUCUGCCCCCCGGCCCGGGAUAGCCCAGGGAAACCUGGAUUAAUACCGGAUGAGACGGGACCCGCGAAUGGCGGGACCCGGGAAAGGCGCUGCGGCGCCGCCGGGGGAUGAGUCUGCGUCCCAUUAGCUAGACGGCGGGGUAACGGCCCACCGUGGCGACGAUGGGUAGCCGGCCUGAGAGGGUGGACGGCCACAUUGGAACCGAGACACGGUCCAGACUCCUACGGGAGGCAGCAGCUAAGAAUCUUCCGCAAUGGGCGAAAGCCUGAACGGAGCGACGCCCGCGUGAACGAAGAAGGCCGUGAGGUUGUAAAGUUCUUUUCGGGAGGGGGAACAACCGUGGCAGGGAAUGGCCGCGGGAUGACGUGAAUCCCGGAAUAAGCCCCGGCUAACUACGUGCCAGCCGCUGC
This 508-nucleotide ribosomal RNA is filed under the name uncultured bacterium. RNAcentral describes it as "bacterial SSU rRNA". It matches the Rfam family "Bacterial small subunit ribosomal RNA", at positions 23 to 518 of the family's 1533-position model. The record is from RNAcentral.